AGAGUUUGAUCCUGGCUCAGAUUGAACGCUGGCGGCAUGCCUUACACAUGCAAGUCGAACGGUAACAGGUCUCCGGACGCUGACGAGUGGCGAACGGGUGAGUAAUACAUCGGAACGUGCCCAGUCGUGGGGGAUAACUACUCGAAAGAGUAGCUAAUACCGCAUACGAUCUGAGGAUGAAAGCGGGGGACCUUCGGGCCUCGCGCGAUUGGAGCGGCCGAUGGCAGAUUAGGUAGUUGGUGGGAUAAAAGCUUACCAAGCCGACGAUCUGUAGCUGGUCUGAGAGGACGACCAGCCACACUGGGACUGAGACACGGCCCAGACUCCUACGGGAGGCAGCAGUGGGGAAUUUUGGACAAUGGGCGAAAGCCUGAUCCAGCAAUGCCGCGUGCAGGAUGAAGGCCUUCGGGUUGUAAACUGCUUUUGUACGGAACGAAAAAGCUUCUCCUAAUACGAGAGGCCCAUGACGGUACCGUAAGAAUAAGCACCGGCUAACUACGUGCCAGCAGCCGCGGUAAU
This 519-nucleotide ribosomal RNA is filed under the name bacterium enrichment culture clone Pav-FEB-Bd4-C1. RNAcentral describes it as "bacterial SSU rRNA". It matches the Rfam family "Bacterial small subunit ribosomal RNA", at positions 8 to 524 of the family's 1533-position model. The record is from RNAcentral.